Molecule: long non-coding RNA, 1625 nt
Filed under: Neodiprion lecontei (redheaded pine sawfly)
Lineage: Eukaryota; Metazoa; Arthropoda; Insecta; Hymenoptera; Diprionidae
Description: uncharacterized LOC124293933
Source: RNAcentral
CGAAAGACGAGUGAUCGGCGACGGAAAAUACUAAAAGAAAACCUUCGCCGCUACGCAUAUACUGCUCUCGCAUUGCGCUGAAUUCUUCUUGUCCAGCGGUAUCCAAGACUGCGGAAAACAAAAUUAUCAAUGAAAAGCCAAGCUGCGGCCGCAAACGGAGCUGAGGUAUCAGCUGCCGCUAUGGCUAGACUCUCAAAAGAGGGAGAAAAUAAUCUACAAGAGGUAUACGGCCAGCGCCUAGAUACGUUGGAGUGGAUGUUCAGAUUGUUUUAAUGAUGGCUGCCCACAAGAGUUUGGCUCUAUGCAAUAUUUACAUUAAUGUACGCAGAGAGUCUCAAGACCCCUUUGCUGCCUCUUCCGAAAUGUCCGAAAAUUUUUUUCAAGAAAAACAGAUACAGCGUGAAAGUAACAUUAAUUCAAUAUUAAUAAAACAAGAAUAAAUACAAUAGCGUAGAAGCAGAGAGCUAUACGCUUUUCAAUUGUGAAAACAUUUUUCGUUCUUUCCUCAAAAGUACACUCGUAAAUUGGGGGAGAUACGGUGAGACAAAGAGAAGGUAAAGAAAAAUAGAAACAAAACAGAUUGGAUGAGUUACUUACUGUCGAGUUUGGCUGGUGUGUCAUCGAUGACGCACUGUUUCGUAUACGAGUCUUCGAUGGUAGGAUCGUAGUCGGUGACGAAAUAACUCUGAAAUAAAGGCGCAGCGAUUUAAAUUCAGUUGAGAAAUAGACCGUAACGAAUAACAGAUUACAAAAUUCAUCAACUUUUCCUUUUGCGAGAUUCUUUUCGUCCGAUAGCGCGAUCAACGAUCAGAAAUUAAUAAAGCAGUCAAUCGAGAUAAAAAUGUCGAAUAAUACUCUAUAAAAUGUCACGAAGAUUUUUCAGAUUAACCCUUUGAAUCAUAGUGGCAAGUAUUCUUACCACCUAUUUUAUAUCCAGUUUUUGUUUAGAGAACUUUUCAACACAUUUUCUUGCGGUUUCUUGCUAUUUCUGAUGGUAUUCUAAUUAAUUUCCAAUACUUGAGAUUAAUUAUUGCAAUAUAACGUAAAUUAUUAUUGUUAGAAGAAAAUUGAUUGACUAAAAUUGUGAAAAUUGAUGGAAUAAUUCAUUUCCGAGAAAGUUACUCCUCCACACAUAUACAUGUUUUACACAACUUAUAAGUUUUUAAGAUCGCUGAUUACGAAUCUGAAAUCGGAUUUUAAAAAUUCAAGUGUAAUUUAUUUCGCAUUCUCUUUUUUCAUAUAAAUAUAUAUAUGUACUAUAUAUAAAUAAUGACUAACGCCUUCGCCGGAAUGUAACCUGUCGAUGGCAAGAAAAUUCUAGCAAAUCUGGAAUGUAGGAAAAUUCAAUUUUCAAUCAACAAGUACUUAUUAUAUUUCGAGAUUUAUAUUUUUCACCAGUAGUAAAAACAUUCUGCACGGUAAAUUUUCUUCUCCUCAUUUGUUUAUAAUUUUUUUCAACUGAUUAUAACCGUUUGUAGCCUCGAACAAAACAUAGUAAAUCAUUUGACCGUCUAUUUGAGCCGCAAAAUGGUUUUAUCUGGAUCGAGAUAACAACGCAGACUUCCGAAGCGAUGGGCUCUAGUAUAUUAUUAUAUGAUUCAAUAACUAUGUAAUACAUUAACCAU